UACGUAGGUGGCAAGCGUUGUCCGGAAUUAUUGGGCGUAAAGGGCGCGCAGGCGGCGUCGUAAGUCGGUCUUAAAAGUGCGGGGCUUAACCCCGUGAGGGGACCGAAACUGCGAUGCUAGAGUAUCGGAGAGGAAAGCGGAAUUCCUAGUGUAGCGGUGAAAUGCGUAGAUAUUAGGAGGAACACCAGUGGCGAAAGCGGCUUUCUGGACGACAACUGACGCUGAGGCGCGAAAGCCAGGGANACGGAGUAGUAGUACCGU
RNAcentral lists this ribosomal RNA (261 nucleotides) under uncultured microorganism. Its description in RNAcentral is "partial small subunit ribosomal RNA". It matches the Rfam family "Bacterial small subunit ribosomal RNA", at positions 524 to 792 of the family's 1533-position model. The record is from RNAcentral.